Molecule: long non-coding RNA, 404 nt
Filed under: Apteryx rowi (Okarito brown kiwi)
Lineage: Eukaryota; Metazoa; Chordata; Aves; Apterygiformes; Apterygidae
Description: lncRNA (ENSARWG00000005759.1)
Source: RNAcentral
GUACCUGAAGAUGAAUUUUAAACCAUAUUUGAGCAAUGAUGUUAAGAAACUAGAAGAUGCACAAGUUAAACAAGAAGAAGCCAUAAAAACUGCUAUUCUUGCCUCACUAAAAGAGUCUGUUCAUCUGGAUGCAACAGUCUCUUAUUUUCUCAAGGAUACAGAAAGCAUCAUGAAUACUAUUACAAAUGUGUACGAUUUGGAAUCGGCUUCGUCUACCAACUCUGCUUUGAAAAGUCUGCCUUCUGAUUCACUAGAAAAAAAAUUUGUUCCACUUGACAUAAAUAGGACUAAUAUACACCAAAGAACACAAGCAUCUGUGUGGAUUUCCUUUUAUGAAAUUUAUAAUGAAUAUGUGUAUGACCUAUUAAAUGUAUUGUCUACAUCAAAAAGUCAGAAACGCAGAG